Non-coding RNA from Oncorhynchus mykiss (rainbow trout), 337 nucleotides. Lineage: Eukaryota; Metazoa; Chordata; Actinopteri; Salmoniformes; Salmonidae. The record is from RefSeq and is a predicted model, not a curated record.
CCACAAGGAGACUACUGCCUGUUACACGAAUGCAGUAUGCCAAAGGUGAAUCCCUGACUGGCUCCUCAGCAGAAAUACAUCGUUGGAGUUGAGCGAGGCUGCCAGGGCAGGCACCUCGAUGGCUUUGGUGUUGGAGGCGUCAGAACCGCGGACCUGGAACAAUCUGACUGGUGGCUCUGGGUCAGACACGCCUUUUCUGGAGAACACUGGAUUAUUGACCCCUGGCUGCUCUGACCCUGAGACUGCCUGCCAUUCUGGACCUUUUUUUUAACCCUAUCUGGAUUAAUGACGUUGUUGACCUGUCUUUGACCUGUCUUUUUGCAUGCCCAUGUAUUAA